UCUGGUGUUGAUGCGCCGGGGGGAAACACCCGUACCCAUCCCGAACACGACGGUUAAGCCCCGGGCGGCUGAAAAUACUACGCUGGCAACGGCGUGGGAAGAUAAGUGGAUGCCAGAC
Molecule: non-coding RNA, 118 nt
Organism: Oribacterium sp. oral taxon 078
Lineage: Bacteria; Bacillati; Bacillota; Clostridia; Lachnospirales; Lachnospiraceae
Source: Rfam